CCUUUCUUCUUCUUCUUGCCGUGAACCUAUUCUCUCCUCUCUCUCAUUUUUCUUUUCCUUUCUUCCAUUAAAGCUCUCUUUGAGCUUUUGAAACCACAAAAUUAACCAUAAAUUUCAUAAAUUCCUUCAUUAAACCUUAUUUUUGAAGCUUGAUAAAACUAUUGAUAACAAAAAGAAGAGGAAAGAAAGGAGAUUUGAAAAAGAAAAAUUCAACAAAAGAGAUAGAGAAAAAGACAUAGUAGCAGAGUGAGCUGCUACAGUCAGAGAGGAGCACAAUUAAAGAAUUUUUAUACGGAUCUUUGUCUAUGCCCUGAUAGUUUAGUUUGAUAUAAAUAUGAUAGUAUGUAUAUGUAUCUCUGUAGUUUGAGUAGUUGUACAGAUAAAAUUGUAAUAAUAUUAUUUUAGAUUUUCUUUCUGUAUAUUAAGAUUGUGUAUGUAAAAUUAAUUUUAAUGCCACAUUUAUGAAUGAAAUUAUUUUAACAAUAUUUUGAAAAGUGAA
Long non-coding RNA from Hevea brasiliensis (rubber tree), 499 nucleotides. RefSeq lists it as uncharacterized. NCBI's taxonomy places the organism in Eukaryota, Viridiplantae, Streptophyta, Magnoliopsida, Malpighiales, Euphorbiaceae. The record is from RefSeq and is a predicted model, not a curated record. The transcript has 2 exons.